AUGAAGUGCGUUUCAAUUGUUGAGAAAAUUGUGAAAAUCGCCGGAGGAAAAACAGGGCAUUGCCUGAUGCAGUUCGGCCGGGAGACCUUUGCGGCUCAAAACAAAAUGUUUGAAAAACUGGAAAAGAGUAAUGCGAUUCAUCGUUCGAUAAAAAAAUGUUGCCGUACACUUGCCCUUGUCUCUGUGAUCCACUCGUUCAUUAAAAAAGUAAAAAAAAACAACAAAAGCUCGUUUGAUAAAAAUAACGUCCGACAAAACAAAUUAUGCAGCUCGCUUGCCCAUCCGAUGCGAUGCGGCUUUCAUUCAGAAGCAGUGCGGUCGGCCUAUGAUGUUGUUCAUCCCCUAAGUGCAAAAUAA
This 357-nucleotide ribosomal RNA is filed under the name Triticum aestivum (bread wheat). RNAcentral's name for it is "partial small subunit ribosomal RNA". Lineage: Eukaryota; Viridiplantae; Streptophyta; Magnoliopsida; Poales; Poaceae. The record is from RNAcentral.